This 602-nucleotide long non-coding RNA is filed under the name Cyanistes caeruleus (blue tit). RNAcentral's name for it is "lncRNA (ENSCCEG00000005069.1)". The record is from RNAcentral. Lineage: Eukaryota; Metazoa; Chordata; Aves; Passeriformes; Paridae.
GUAACAUUUUUAUUUGGGCUCACAGUACUUUUCACAGGUGAGAUUUAAGUGCUUUUAGCCAAUUCAAGUGUAUCUUCUGUAAUCAAAACAUUUUGGUUUAGAGCUUGAAUUUAGUAAAAUAAAAAAACUUUGAGCAAAUACAGAAAUCUUAAGUGUUCACCCCGUAAAUUCAAUUUGAGUAGUCUUCCAUUAUUUUUAUUUCAAAUUAUUUGAAUAUUGGUUACAUAUUGUUUAAAUCUCCAGGAGUUUGAGGCCCAAGUUAAACAGUGACCAGUAUGCUCAGCAGCAGAGGAAGGAAGGCGUCUACAGCAAAUUGGUUCUGUGGCUGUCAUGAGCAGAUUGUCCAGGCCCCAGACAUUGCCUUUUGUUCCAUUCCAUUAUCUGAGAACAACUCGGACUUCGAAUCUGAAGGCCCUGAAUUAGGACUGGCCAGCACCAUGAGAACACCAGGAAGCUGUGCCUGGAUUUCACUGUGGUGGCAGGACAAGGUGCAGUCGAGACGGAGCCCGGUGAAGCUUAAGAGCAGCGGGAGAAGCUGCUGGUCCAGACCUGAUUUUGACACCUGGAGGGACAGUGAUCCAGGUGAGCCACCGGGGACAUAA